This 243-nucleotide long non-coding RNA is filed under the name Ananas comosus (pineapple). RNAcentral describes it as "long non-coding RNA (ACOM_LNC012144)". The record is from RNAcentral. Lineage: Eukaryota; Viridiplantae; Streptophyta; Magnoliopsida; Poales; Bromeliaceae.
UAGGCCGCGGCAACGAGCGGCGGAGGUGGUUCCAGGCGGUGGAAGGGCCGAUGAGGAGGGAGCGGGGAGGAGGGAGAAAAUGGAGAGGAAGGUUUUGUUGGGGGAGAGAGGGAGAGAGAGCGAGAGUAGAAAAAUCUGAGAAGAAUGGAAGAGAGAGGGAAGAAUGGAAGACGAUAAGGGAGAGUAGAAAAAAAAAAGUUUGAGAAAAGGCAUGGACAGAGAAAUGGGAUGAUCGUGCGCAGG